This 400-nucleotide ribosomal RNA is filed under the name Albinaria schuchii. RNAcentral's name for it is "partial 16S ribosomal RNA". It matches the Rfam family "Bacterial large subunit ribosomal RNA", at positions 1796 to 2524 of the family's 2925-position model. Lineage: Eukaryota; Metazoa; Mollusca; Gastropoda; Stylommatophora; Clausiliidae. The record is from RNAcentral.
UCGACUGUUUAUCAAAAACAUAGCCAUAAGUAAAUAUUUAUGGUAGUAUCUGCCCAGUGAAAAUUUUUAAACGGCCGCAGUACCUUGACUGUGCAAAGGUAGCAUAAUCACUUGACUUUUAAAUGGAGCCUAGUAUGAAAGAGAGAACGUAGACAAUUUGUCUUAAUAAUAGUAUUUUGAAAUUGCUGUAGGAGUGAAAAUACUCCUAAAAUUUAAAAAUAGACGAGAAGACCCUUAGAAUUUUAAACAUAUUGCAGAAGUACUACUGUAAUUAUUUUUUGUUGGGGCAACAAUAUUUCAAAACGAAUAAAUAUACAAAAAAGUCAAAAUAGGUCGAUUAUAUAAUUAUAGUAAAAUUACCUAAGGGAUAACAGCAUAAUUUAAUAAUUAAGUUUGUGAC